Molecule: ribosomal RNA, 1109 nt
Filed under: Escherichia coli
Lineage: Bacteria; Pseudomonadati; Pseudomonadota; Gammaproteobacteria; Enterobacterales; Enterobacteriaceae
Description: partial 23S ribosomal RNA
Rfam family: Bacterial large subunit ribosomal RNA
Source: RNAcentral
AUGGGGAAACCCAGUGUGAUUCGUCACACUAUCAUUAACUGAAUCCAUAGGUUAAUGAGGCGAACCGGGGGAACUGAAACAUCUAAGUACCCCGAGGAAAAGAAAUCAACCGAGAUUCCCCCAGUAGCGGCGAGCGAACGGGGAGCAGCCCAGAGUCUGAAUCAGUGUGUGUGUUAGUGGAAGCGUCUGGAAAGGCGCGCGAUACAGGGUGACAGCCCCGUACACAAAAAUGCACAUGCUGUGAGCUCGAUGAGUAGGGCGGGACACGUGGUAUCCUGUCUGAAUAUGGGGGGACCAUCCUCCAAGGCUAAAUACUCCUGACUGACCGAUAGUGAACCAGUACCGUGAGGGAAAGGCGAAAAGAACCCCGGCGAGGGGAGUGAAAAAGAACCUGAAACCGUGUACGUACAAGCAGUGGGAGCACGCUUAGGCGUGUGACUGCGUACCUUUUGUAUAAUGGGUCAGCGACUUAUAUUCUGUAGCAAGGUUAACCGAAUAGGGGAGCCGAAGGGAAACCGAGUCUUAACUGGGCGUUAAGUUGCAGGGUAUAGACCCGAAACCCGGUGAUCUAGCCAUGGGCAGGUUGAAGGUUGGGUAACACUAACUGGAGGACCGAACCGACUAAUGUUGAAAAAUUAGCGGAUGACUUGUGGCUGGGGGUGAAAGGCCAAUCAAACCGGGAGAUAGCUGGUUCUCCCCGAAAGCUAUUUAGGUAGCGCCUCGUGAAUUCAUCUCCGGGGGUAGAGCACUGUUUCGGCAAGGGGGUCAUCCCGACUUACCAACCCGAUGCAAACUGCGAAUACCGGAGAAUGUUAUCACGGGAGACACACGGCGGGUGCUAACGUCCGUCGUGAAGAGGGAAACAACCCAGACCGCCAGCUAAGGUCCCAAAGUCAUGGUUAAGUGGGAAACGAUGUGGGAAGGCCCAGACAGCCAGGAUGUUGGCUUAGAAGCAGCCAUCAUUUAAAGAAAGCGUAAUAGCUCACUGGUCGAGUCGGCCUGCGCGGAAGAUGUAACGGGGCUAAACCAUGCACCGAAGCUGCGGCAGCGACACUGUGUGUUGUUGGGUAGGGGAGCGUUCUGUAAGCCUGUGAAGGUGUACUGUGAGG